Molecule: ribosomal RNA, 464 nt
Filed under: Vreelandella stevensii
Lineage: Bacteria; Pseudomonadati; Pseudomonadota; Gammaproteobacteria; Oceanospirillales; Halomonadaceae
Description: partial 16S ribosomal RNA
Rfam family: Bacterial small subunit ribosomal RNA
Source: RNAcentral
CUACGGGUGGCAGCAGUGGGGAAUAUUGGACAAUGGGCGAAAGCCUGAUCCAGCCAUGCCGCGUGUGUGAAGAAGGCCUUCGGGUUGUAAAGCACUUUCAGUGGGGAAGAAAGCCUUGGGGCUAAUACCCUCGAGGAAGGACAUCACCCACAGAAGAAGCACCGGCUAACUCCGUGUCAGCAGCCGCGGUAAUACGGAGGGUGCGAGCGUUAAUCGGAAUUACUGGGCGUAAAGCGCGCGUAGGCGGUCUGAUAAGCCGGUUGUGAAAGCCCCGGGCUCAACCUGGGAACGGCAUCCGGAACUGUCAGGCUAGAGUGCAGGAGAGGAAGGUAGAAUUCCCGGUGUAGCAGUGAAAUGCGUAGAGAUCGGGAGGAAUACCAGUGGCGAAGGCGGCCUUCUGGACUGACACUGACGCUGAGGUGCGAAAGCGUGGGUAGCAAACAGGAUUAGAUACCCGAGUAGUC